Molecule: transfer RNA, 76 nt
Filed under: Pseudomonas sp. FeN3W
Lineage: Bacteria; Pseudomonadati; Pseudomonadota; Gammaproteobacteria; Pseudomonadales; Pseudomonadaceae
Description: tRNA-Ala
Rfam family: tRNA
About the family: Transfer RNA (tRNA) molecules are approximately 80 nucleotides in length. Their secondary structure includes four short double-helical elements and three loops (D, anti-codon, and T loops). Further hydrogen bonds mediate the characteristic L-shaped molecular structure. tRNAs have two regions of fundamental functional importance: the anti-codon, which is responsible for specific mRNA codon recognition, and the 3' end, to which the tRNAs corresponding amino acid is attached (by aminoacyl-tRNA synthetases). tRNAs cope with the degeneracy of the genetic code in two manners: having more than one tRNA (with a specific anti-codon) for a particular amino acid; and 'wobble' base-pairing, i.e. permitting non-standard base-pairing at the 3rd anti-codon position.
Source: RNAcentral
GGGGUCUUAGCUCAAUUGGGAGAGCGCCUGCCUUGCAAGCAGGAGGUUGUGGGUUCGAUCCCCAUAGACUCCACCA